GGGGAAAAGAAACCAACAGGGAUUGCCUUAGUAACGGCGAGUGAAGCGGCAAAAGCUCAAAUUUGAAAUCUGGCACCUUCGGUGUCCGAGUUGUAAUUUGAAGAAGGUAACUUUGGAGUUGGCUCUUGUCUAUGUUCCUUGGAACAGGACGUCACAGAGGGUGAGAAUCCCGUGCGAUGAGAUGCCCAAUUCUAUGUAAAGUGCUUUUGAAGAGUCUAGUUGUUUGGGAAUGCAGCUCUAAGUGGGUGGUAAAUUCCAUCUAAAGCUAAAUAUUGGCGAGAGACCGAUAGCGAACAAGUACAGUGAUGGAAAGAUGAAAAGAACUUUGAAAAGAGAGUGAAAAAGUACGUGAAAUUGUUGAAAGGGAAGGGCUUGAGAUCAGACUUGGUAUUUUGCGAUCCUUUCCUUCUUGGUUGGGUUCCUCGCAGCUUACUGGGCCAGCAUCGGUUUGGAUGGUAGGAUAAUGACUAAGGAAUGUGGCUCUACUUCGGUGGAGUGUUAUAGCCUUGGUUGAUACUGCCUGUCUAGACCGAGGACUGCGUCUUUUGACUACGAUGUUGGCAUAAUGAUCUU
This 573-nucleotide ribosomal RNA is filed under the name Debaryomyces sp. A25M017. Its description in RNAcentral is "eukaryotic LSU rRNA". It matches the Rfam family "Eukaryotic large subunit ribosomal RNA", at positions 53 to 641 of the family's 3401-position model. Lineage: Eukaryota; Fungi; Ascomycota; Pichiomycetes; Serinales; Debaryomycetaceae. The record is from RNAcentral.